This 1919-nucleotide ribosomal RNA is filed under the name marine metagenome. RNAcentral describes it as "bacterial LSU rRNA". It matches the Rfam family "Bacterial large subunit ribosomal RNA", at positions 3 to 1980 of the family's 2925-position model. The record is from RNAcentral.
UCAAGCUACAAAGAGCUCACGGCGGAUACCUUGGCACACAGAGGCGAUGAAGGACGUGGUUACCUGCGAUAAGUCUCGGGGAGCUGGAAGCACGCUUUGAUCCGGGAAUUUCCGAAUGGGGCAACCCCUAGAACGGCCAGCUGAAUCCAUAGGCUGGCGCGAGCCAACCCAGCGAACUGAAACAUCUUAGUAGCUGGAGGAAAGGAAAGUAAAAACGACUCCCUAAGUAGCGGCGAGCGAACGGGGAAGAGCCUAAACCGACAGUUUCGACUGUCGGGGUUGUGGGACAGCAAUGUGGAUCAGGAAUGUUAGUGGAAGUGUUUGAAAGACACGCCACAGAAGGUGAAAGCCCCGUACACGAAAACUGAACUGACCUAGCUGUAUCCCGAGUAGCACGGAGCACGUGAAAUUCCGUGUGAAUCCGCGAGGACCACCUCGUAAGGCUAAGUACUACUGUGUGACCGAUAGCGAAACAGUACCGCGAGGGAAAGGUGAAAAGAACCCCGGGAGGGGAGUGAAAUAGAACAUGAAACCGUGAGCUUACAAGCAAUGGGAGCCCUACUCAUAGGGUGACCGUGUGCCUGUUGAAGAAUGAGCCGGCGACUUAUAGGCACUGGCGGGUUAAACCGGAAAUGGUGGAGCCAUAGCGAAAGCGAGUCUGAAUAGGGCGUUUGUCAGUGUUUAUAGACCCGAACCCGGGUGAUCUAACCAUGGCCAGGAUGAAGCUUGGGUGAUACCAAGUGGAGGUCCGAACCGACUGAUGUUGAAAAAUCAGCGGAUGAGCUGUGGUUAGGGGUGAAAUGCCAAUCGAACCCGGAGCUAGCUGGUUCUCCCCGAAAUACGUUGAGGCGUAGCGUCUGAUGCUCCAGCAGGGGGGUAAAGCCACCAUUUCGGUGCGGGCUGCGAGAGCGGUACCAAAUCGAGAUGAACUCUGAAUACCCUGUGUGUAGCGAGGCAGUCAGACUGUGGGGGAUAAGCUCCAUGGUCGAGAGGGAAACAGCCCAGACCGCCAGCUAAGGUCCCCAAAUCAACACUAAGUGAUAAAGGAGGUGGGAUUGCCCAGACAACCAGGAGGUUUGCCUAGAAGCAGCCAUCCUCAAAGGAGUGCGUAAUAGCUCACUGGUCGAGCGAUCCUGCGCCGAAAAUGAACGGGGCUAAGUGUUGUACCGAAGCUGCGGAUUUAUGGUAGGGGAGCGUUCUAUGUGGGGCGAAGCGUUAGCGUGAGCGGGCGUGGACUGCAUAGAAGUGAGAAUGUCGGCUUGAGUAGCGAAAACAUGGGUGAGAAUCCCAUGCACCGAAACCCUAAGGGUUCCUCCGGCAGGCUCGUCCGCGGAGGGUUAGUCUGGACCUAAGGCGAGGCCGAAAGGCGUAGUCGAUGGAUAACAGGUCAACAUUCCUGUACCGGUUAUGUUUUGGGAAGAGGGACGGAGAAGGCUAGCCAAGCCAGAUGUUGGUUACUGGUUCAAGCGUUCGAGGCGUUGAGGAGCGGAGAAAACGUUCCGAGCUGAGGCGUGAGUACGAGCUGCUACGGCAGCGAAGUUGGUGAUGUCAUGCUUCCAAGAAAAGCUCUAUACCCGUUAAGGCAUAACUGCCAGUACCCGAAACCGACACAGGUGGGGUGGUAGAGAAUACCGAGGUGCGCGAGGUAACUCUCUCUAAGGAACUCGGCAAAAUGGCCCCGUAACUUCGGGAGAAGGGGUGCCACCGCAAGGUGGUCGCAGUGAAGAGGCCCUGGCGACUGUUUACCAAAAACACAGGUCUCCGCUAAGUCGCAAGACGAUGUAUGGGGGCUGACGCCUGCCCAGUGCCGGAAGGUUAAGGAAGCCGGUCAGCGUAAGCGAAGCUGGCGACUGAAGCCCCGGUGAACGGCGGCCGUAACUAUAACGGUCCUAAGGUAGCGAAAUUCCUUGUCGGGUAAG